Bombus huntii is the source of this 2420-nucleotide long non-coding RNA. RefSeq lists it as uncharacterized. The record is from RefSeq and is a predicted model, not a curated record. NCBI's taxonomy places the organism in Eukaryota, Metazoa, Arthropoda, Insecta, Hymenoptera, Apidae. The transcript has 2 exons.
CUGGGGAGACACGGCUCUCCGGGUGCGUUUCACUGCUUUUCUCCUAUCCACGGUUCGAUGUGUAGACCUGCGCAGGAAGAACGCCAGCGCGUAGAACGGCCAAUCUAUCGGACCUGAUACACGACCUCUUCGUGAAUCACACGUAGCCGACUACACGACCCGACUAACACAAGGAAUGACAGCGCGCGUCAACGGUGAUGCUUACGGCGACAGCGACGAAACGCGCGGUUGACUCGCGAGUAGAAAGUACUGUUCUCCCCUUCCUCGGAUAGUAAAUAUGCACUUGGGCAGAUACUCGGGCCCAUUCUACUUCACGGCUGAAUCGACUACCUGUGACCAGUCUGCCGAUUAUUAGUCGCUCGUACAACGAUCGAACAUCGCUACACCUUUGUGUUUAUGCACCGGCCACACAGUGACUCUCAGCACUCGCCAGUGGUUCUUACCUAAAGCUCGAAGGUUUAGCAAUUCCGCUAAUGGCUAGGUUCUAGUCUCUGGUCGGCAGAUCGAUGGUCGAAGGGAAAAGAAGCUUACGGAACAGGGUACGUAAUAGCGUUUAUGCCGCAGGAUUAAUUUUAAUCGAGUUUCAGUUGCGACGAGGGACAGAAUCAAUCAAUGUCGCGACGAUCAGCGAUGUUCGUUAUUUUGCAAUUCGACGAUAAGAACGUGCAACCGUCUUGUAUACGUAUGAAAGGAAGUUGGCGUUUUUGCACGGGUUUGUCCCUCGCGAUGAUGAUAGAGCAGGAUCGUUUAGCAAACGGCCGAUGAAAGGUGGUUGAAAGGCACGUGCAAUUUAAACGGGCUGCCGCCUGUGUAUACUUACACCGACGUGUAUUUGAUUAAUCGAUGCGCUGCUUUCUACCGGCCAACUAUUUCGCUGCUGACGUUAGUCGGUUGACGAAGGUUGCAGAGAAAGAGGAUGUCAAAGGCGACAUGGGUCUUGCCCAUAAUCUUAGUUUACCUUUCUUAGGCCUUGGCAAGAGCCGUAAGCAACAGUAUAGCCAGCCGUGUUCCCGUUUCGAAGAUAAUUUUCACGAAGCCGUUUCUAAAUGCACAACGGUCCACUCGCCUUUUACUUUUCGGCAAGCAGACUGCCCUUGAAACGCUGCCCGUCACGCUUUGGUAAUUCUCGUUGAAGGAUCGACGAGUCCUAGCUACAAUGGAAAUAUACGCAGGCUUUGGGGCCACUGUAAACGUCAAUAAACACGAGUCCACUAAAUCUUGGCGAUCCGGACUUUUAACAACCUGGCGUAUUAAACGAGUUGCCUCGGCGGUGAUUUACUACGCGAUUUCCUAUUUAACAUUAGAACUACCGAUAGUUAACACGAAGCUAUUUCUGAUCAAAUACCAGUCAAAAUGACUGGUCUUUAAAAAAUACGUAAAAUAGAAUAUUUUUAUAUUUAUCGAUUUAUCACUUUCUUACAGAAGGAAUUCCAUGUUACGUAGUACAUUUUAAUAUUAAUCCAUCUGGAACUAUGAUCCCUAAAGGAGGGUUGACAUAUUUGUAAAAUUGUAAAGCCAGUCAUUUUGACUGGUGUGGUAUUUCCAGUGUUGCGAUUUAGCGAUCGAUUCGGAAUCUUUCUGACGACUGAUACGCAGUAAAAUCGUAAAAACGUGUGGGAAGUUGUACGAAACGAGGAAACUGGAUAAUUGGAGUUCGAUAAACAGAUUGCAGAAUCUUUUUACACUACGGCAAGUAUCAGUCAUUUUGACUGGUAUUGGUAUAAAUAACUUUGAUGUAAAAUUAUUUGAAAUUUGAAUACAUAAAAAAACAAAAUAAAAUUCAUUACAUCAUUGGAGAAAAAAAUAUAACAAAGUAGGAAUUUUAAAAUAACAUUGUCGAACCAGUCAAUUUGGCGUGGUAUUUCUAGUGUUGCGAUCUAGUGAUAUAACGAGCGAUCAGGAAUCUUCCUGACGACUGAUAUCAGUAUAUUAAAUGAUACGCAGUAAAAAUGUUAAAAACGUGUGGGAAAUUGUACAAAACGAGGAAACUGGUUAAUUGGGGUUCGAUAAACAGAUUGCAGGACCCUUUUACAUUUUGACAAGUACCAGUCAUUUCGACUGGUAUUGGUAUAAGUAGUCUUGAUAUAAAAUUAUUUUAAAUUUGAAUGCAUAAAGAACUAAAUAAAAUUCAUUAUAUUAUUCUUUUAGUUAUCGUUGCAAUUACAACAUUGGGGGAAAAAUAUGUCGGAGAUGGAAGGAAAACCGGAGCCUUCCCUUUGCAAUUUUGAGGAAGCCUUCUAAUGCUUUAGCCUAGAUUUUAUCAUAACUGUAAUUAAGCAAUUGUCAUUUGUAAUUUUUUGAUAUUUGUGAAAGCGAAAGUGGGUUCGAGGUGACAACUGGUCGCCGAACGUAGCCACGGUCACGGGAUAAACGUUUUGCCUGACGAAGGUGUGGAUCGGUUGUAUUGUUCUCCCUAGAAA